RNAcentral lists this long non-coding RNA (7866 nucleotides) under Daucus carota (carrot). RNAcentral describes it as "long non-coding RNA (DCAR_LNC000710)". The record is from RNAcentral. Lineage: Eukaryota; Viridiplantae; Streptophyta; Magnoliopsida; Apiales; Apiaceae.
ACUGUAGAAUAGAUACACAAGCAUUUCGCACAAGCAACUGUUUUCUUACAUUAGCUAUAGGGAUGCAAAAAUGAAUUCCAGCCAUGAUUCUGUUAAGCACUUAUAUCUUGACUAGUCUGUCUCUUUAAUGGGACUGACGUAUAGAAGGUUUAGCAGAUUCAGUAUGAUGAAGAAUAACGACCAUAAACUUAUCCAAUAAGAAGCUUUGUAUGUUCAGUCAUGCCUGUGCCUAAGUUUAUUUAAAUAAUGAAACCAAACCAGUUGGGUUAUGUGUGCUACUUCUAGAAUAUAUUGGCUCAUGUUACUGGAGCUACUAUUAAUUUCUUAAUUAACCAACAAUCAGAUUGCUCAGGCCCUGCUAUUUCCAUUUACUUACCUUUUCUAUGUAUUUUACAGCCUUUGGACCCGGAAGGUGUGCAAUAAACAGUGGGGGUUGCUGGUCAGAAACUAAAUACGGACAAACGCUUUCAGCUUGCUCAGUUCAGUGAUGUCCUUUUUUUUUUUUUCCAAUUGUACUACAUCUUGACAUUGUAUUCAGCUAAAAUUUUAUAUCUUGUAUAGGAUUCCGAUAUAACAGGCUGUCGAUGCCCACAUGGUUUUCAGGGGGAUGGCCAUAAAUGUGAAGGUACUUCGUGCUCUUUCUUUUGGUCAUCUCCAGACCUUACUAUAGGGUUUGACAUAUAUAACUUAUAUUUUUCUUUUGGACAUGGACCAGAUAUUAAUGAAUGCUCAGAAGGUCUUGCUUGUCAAUGUGAGGGCUGUUCCUGCAAGAAUACGUGGGGUGGAUAUGGCUGCAAGUGCAAGGGGGAGAAACUUUAUAUAAUGGAGCAAGACACAUGUAUUGGUAAUAAUAAACUCUCUAUAUAAAGCAUCUACUACAGUAACUAAAAUUAUAAUAUAUUUUAAACAUUAUGCAGAGAUGGCAUCUUAGUAGGACUUCCAGUAGAUUUAUCUGUUAUUUAUGUACUAGGUUGUGUUUUGAAUUUAAGGGCUGAAGUUAAUGUUGGUUAAGGAAAGCUGCUUCGUCAAAAUUUAGGUGUUAAGUUAUAAUUUACUAUUUUUCAUUAAAAUGUGACUUCAUCACUAUUCUACUUCGAAGCAUUCAUACAACAGCUUUAUGCGUUCAAGCUCCUGCAUGUUGUUGGAACAUCUAGGGUCGAUGAAUUACAUUUUAGUAGAUCUAAUGAGAUAAAUUUUUGUUUCUUUAUUUUUCUGCCUUCCUACUACAGAAAGAAAUUCUACAAAAUUUGGAUGGUUCCUAGCCUUGUUGAUCUUAGGGGCAGUUGUUUCUGCUGCUUUUGCUGGCUAUAUCUUCUACAAAUAUAGGUUCCGGGUAAGCAGAAUAAUUUUCACCAAAUAUAUAUUUUCUUACAUGCUGGUACCAGGAUCACUACUCACUUAACUAUAUAUUUCUUUCUGUAGUCUUAUAUGGACUCCGAGGUAAUGGCCAUUAUGUCUCAGUACAUGCCACUUGACAGUCAGCAUCAUAACCAAGUCACUCAACAUGAAAAUGGGUCCCUACGACAAGGCAGCUCCGGCGUAUAAUAAAGGUACUUAUGUCAUGGACUGUGCCUUCCUAUGUGACCUUUUGUAUCAUUUCUUUUAUUGUUUUCUACCCACUUUUUGUUGACAAAAACCAUUUACCAUGCAGAAGCUGCAGAAUUACAUACAUCUUAUAAGCCAUUGGUGGUCAAUAAUGGCGAUAUUGUUAGAGACAUUUAGACGAUUUUCACACAACUCAGCAUACGGUGCACAGUUGAGAUGAUUCUGAAAUUUGAAAUAUCCGGGAUACUUGUUUACUGAACCCUUCCCUCCUCUUUUCUUGUUUUGAUGUAUAUACUUUGUUGAGAUGUAGAUGGAGGACCAUAGUUACUGUUACACUUAUAUAGUUGAUGUAUAUAUUUAUAAAAGAAAUAUUAGAAUGGAAUAAAUAAGUUGAUGGUUUCCACAAGCUGUCUCUUUCUUAUUUCAAAGGUCUUGAUAAAGUGAAAGCCUAAAGACGAUAUAAAGAAUGCAGUAUGAGAAUAACUUCACAGACACUGAAGAGUAUAGGAGUAGGGGAUUAGUUUUUUCCUUGAAUUAUUCUUAUUAUUUGAUUAUUUAUGAUUAUACAGAGAUUAUUCAUCCCAUGUUAUGUCAUACAAUAUGCACCUGUUGCUGAUCAUUUAAAAUUUAGUUCACAUGAUGUGCAAGAGCCCAACAUUGAACUCUUUCAACGGAGUGCUAGCCAGAAAACGUACGAAUGAUGCUAACAUAUGUCUCGAGGGGAAGAAAAAAAAAUGUUGGAUGUGAAAAAUUCCUGGAAUGAGACAAUUUUCCACUGUAUGAUAUUACAUCCUUUGUAUAUAUAUUAAAAUUUUAGCGUUAAGCAUAGGCACGCGAAUGAGGACGUGGACUCAAGAAAAAAGUGAAGCAGAAGUUAGAAUUAAGUUAAAAUUUAUAAGCGAUUAAAAUGUUUGAAAAAUAAGUGGAAACAAUAAAACAAAAGUUAGCAUUCCUAAUUUUUUAGGGCAAAUUAAUUUAUAGGUCCUUGAAUUAUUGACGUUUUAUUGUCUAGGUCCCUGAACUAAAGAUUCCGUAUUUCAGGUCACUUAACUUUUCUAUUUUCUGAUCUAAGUCCUUCCGUCAAAAAGAUUCUAACGGUGUUAACUAGGGUUCUUGAGUUUCAUACAGAUCAAAGCAAUUUUGAAGGUGUUAGUGAUAUCCAAACUCAAAGUUCAAAUAGUCAAAUUGAAGUUUGAAUCACUAGCGACACUCAUAUGACAACAAUUUUCACAAAUUAGAUUUAAUUUUAAAAAGCCCUAAAUUUGACCAUAAAUUUAGGGUUCUUUAUCGAAUUUAGUGACCUGAAUUUAUAAAAUUUUAAAUUGAACAUAAUUUUUGAAAAUUGGUGUCAUAUGAGUGUCGCCAGCGACUCAAGCUUCAAUUUGACUACUUGAACUUUGAAUUUGGAUAUCACUAACACCUUCAAAAUUGCUUUGAUCUGUAUGAAACUCAAGAACCCUAGUUAACACUGUUAGAAUCUUUUUGACAGAAGGACUUAGAUCAGAAUACAAAAAAGUUAAGUGACCUGAAAUACGGAAUCUUUAGUUCAGGGACCUAGACAAUAAAACGUCAAUAGUUCAGGGACCUGCAAUUUAAUUUUCCCAAUUUUUUAUAAGUACUUCUUGAUUUUUUACACAAACGGUACAAAUAAGUGCUUUUAACUUAUAAUUCCUAAGUCCGGCUUAAAAGAGCGAGCCAACCACCCACUAAGUGAAUUUAGAAGAAUUUGCACUUGAAAUAAAGCUGAAGUUGGUAGCGAUACACUCAUUCACCCCUUCUUUUACGUCAACAGUGAACACCCAUUUCUCCCUCCUAACAUUCUUCCCUGUAUCUAUCUCUGUAUCUCUAUAUUCCAAAACAAGUCUCCUCUUGACUUCUCUCUCUCUCUCUCGACUAUAUGUUUCUCUUCUUUAUCUCUCCCAGCUCACAAACUCCACACCCCCAUCUUCUCUUCUCACACAACCAUGUCAAGAAGCUUGCUGGGUGUUCUUUUUUGUGUCAUUUUCGUGAGUGUAAAUGGGAGAUUUGUGGUGGAGAAAGAGAGCAUAAGAGUGCUCUCGCCUUAUAAGCUAAGGUCGAAGCAUGAUGCUGCUAUUGGUAACUUCGGAGUCCCUAAAUAUGGAGGUUCUAUGGUGGGGUCCAUGGUGUAUUCUCAUCAGAAUUCUUAUGCGUGUAAGCCUUUUGAUGAUGAAAAAAAGCAGCCCUUUAAGACCCACAUUCUUCUUGUUGAUCGUGGAGGUAACUGUGUGUGUUAUUUUUUUCUUUUUUAUGUUGUCACAAAAUUUUAGUGCCUUUUAAAAUUUAUUUGAGACCUUGUACUUGCAACUAAAAUGUUAUGUUUAUUAAGGUGCGUUACUUAUUUGUUUUAUUUGGAAUGUGGAAUUUUAUGAACACUGGCUAAUCCUAGUAUGCAUGCAUUUGGUAAGAGUGAAUAAAUAGGGCUUUUUUAGGAGCCAAAAUUUUAAUGCUUUUGAUUCUUUUAAUUGGUACAUGGAUAGGUAUACAAGCACUUAGGCAUCUCCAACCAUCACUCUAAAUUUUAUAUUGCUUCACAUUUAAUUUUAUAAAUAGAGUAAUCCAUCUCUAAUCAUCCAUUACUCUAUCUUUAUAUAUAAAGUCAUGCACUAUCCUACUCUAUAUAUGAAGUUGAACUUGAAGAUAAAGCACAAAUUACUUUAUUUAUAAAAUGAAGUAAUGGUUGGAAAUGGAAUAAAGAUAUAAAGUGAAAAAGGUGAAAAUGAAGAUGAAGUUGCUUUAUUUAUAAAAUUAUGAUUGGAGAUGGUCUUAAUCGAAGUAAAUGUAAGAUUUUAAAGUCUCCUUAUUUGUAUAUCCUCUGUUUGUACUCUGUACCAGUGUUACGAUUUCUCCAUUUGAGUCCAUGAGAACUAAUUUUUGCUUUCAUGCAUCUUCUACGAAUUUACUACUCUGUAUAGCAAUGCUAUAACAGAGUGUUCCUGAAUCCUGAAUGCUCAUUUUGGCGCUUCUGUGUCCUUAAGUCUCCUUUCCACCAUCAUACGGAGUAACCACUCCUGACCUCCUGUCAUUUCUUGCCGAUUCUAUAUUAAAUUGUUCUUGAGGGAGGGAGAGUGUGUCAGUGAAGUUACUAGAACAUUUGAACCAGAGAUUUUGUAGCCAGGUAAAAUUGUUGGACACAUUACUCAUGAGUCAUGAUUAUUAAUGUAAGAAAAACUUAAUACACAGAAACACUCUAUGGCUGUACUUAAGAUUUAGUAAGUUGGCUUAUUAAUUGAAAGAGCAUGCUGACUACAUGAUCUCAUCUACUUUUGUACUGGUCUCUGUCUAUUAGGAUAGCUCGUCUUCAACGUGAACAUUCUUAUUGAUAGUUUAAGAGUCUUUAUUUUUGACUUUUUGUUUACCCUAUGGCAAUCAACUGUUCCUCGGUUUAACUAAUAUGAUUCCUCUUUAAUUGUGUCUAUACUAAUUUUAAUGUGUAUGAUCAAGUUAAGUCGAUUUUUCAUAUUUGACCAUAUAAUGCUUAUCAUCUCUUAAAUGCCUGGACAAGAUUUAUUUAAAUGUAGAAGAAAAUAUGGAACAUAGGUACUUUCUAAUUUUUAAAUUUGUUUCAUUUUUUUCCCAGAGUGCUUCUUUGCUUUGAAGGUUUGGAAUGCGCAACAAGCAGGUGCUGCAGCUGUUUUGGUGACUGACGACAGAGAUGAGCCUCUCAUAACUAUGGAGUCUCCCGGAGAAAAUGCUGAUGCAGAUGGCUACAUUGACAAGAUUGGAAUUCCAUCAGCUUUAAUUGAUCGAUCGUUUGGUGAGACUUUGAAAGCUGCUGUACAGAAAGCUGAAGAAGAUGUGGUAAUUAAAUUGGACUGGAGAGAGUCAAUGCCCAACCCGGAUCAGAGGGUUGAGUAUGAGUUUUGGACUAACAGCAAUGAUGAUUGUGGAAUUCGCUGUGAUGAGCAAAUGAAUUUUUUCAAGGACUUCAAAGGACAUGCACAGAUUCUUGAAAAGGGUGGUUACACCAUGUUUACACCACACUAUAUAACAUGGUUUUGUCCUGCGCCUUUGGUUCUGAGCGACCAGUGCAAGUCUCAGUGCAUAAACCAUGGGAGAUAUUGUGCACCUGAUCCAGAAAAGAAUUUUGGGAUGGGGUAUCAAGGAAAAGAUGUGGUAUUCGAGAAGUUGAGACAGCUUUGUGUGCACAGGGUUGCUAAGGAGAGCAACCGAUCUUGGGUUUGGUGGGAUUUUGUGACAGAUUUUCACAUUAGGUGCUCAAUGAAGGAAAAGAGGUAUAGCAAAGAAUGUGCUGAGGAUGUCUUGAAGUCCUUGAGUAAGUACUCUUCUAUCAAAUAGUGUGCAUACAAUCACAUUCCUAUAAUUCUUCAGCGAUUUAUCCUUAUAAAUUUAUUGGACAACCAGAUCUGCCAGUUGAGAAGAUAAAAGAUUGCAUGGGUGACCCUGAAGCUGAUGUUGAAAAUGAUGUCCUAAAAAUUGAACAAUAUCGGCAGGUUCAUAUUCCUGCGAUUUUAUAGUACCCUGAAUUUAUUAUGCGUGUUGUCCGUGCUAAUAAUAGUACAAUGUUUCUGAUUUAUAUAUAGGUUGGACGAGGAUCUCGUGGCGAUGUUACUAUCUUACCGACAUUAAUCAUUAACGAUGUUCAGUAUAGAGGUAUCUUGUGAUUGCUCUUCUAUUGUAUUUCUCGUAUGUCAGAGUCAAUUACUCUAUCAUGCCAUAAUUUUAAUCUGGAACACCAAAUAUCUCUUUGGACCUCAGUUCGAUCCGUCUCAUCUGCAUCAAAAUCCAUAAUCUUAUAACAAUAUUGUGACAAAAUUAUCUUACACUUGUUGCUAUUGUAUAUAAUAGUAAUAUUAAUAUUCUUGUAAACUUUUAUCAAAAGAAGAAAACGUCUGAAACGUGGUAAUUCAUUAAAUUAUGCAAUAAUUUUUGGACUUCCUGAGAAAGGUCUAAAUAUAGACUUGAUGAACUAUUAAGUUCAAAAGAUAUAAGAAAUUGGUCCGCGAUUUAUACAAAAAAGACGAGAUGCCUGGCUGGUUUACUGGAUUGGUCACUCUUACUAACAAAUUAAGUGGGACAACUCUAUCAUAGUGCAUUGAUUGUAGUGGAUUUUGCAUGUUCUUUUCCUCUCUUUAUGGUUUUUGGUUCUUUGCAGUUGUGCAUCUUUUUCUUAUUCAUACAAAGAAUAUACCUCAAUUGGUAAUUCGCCCGAGUAAAUGUGUCUGCUCUUUGGAAAGUGCCUUCGUAUACGUCCUUGGGAUUAGAAGAAAUGUUAUGGUAACUUAUCUGGAUAUAUUAAUUGUAUUUGCCACAGGAAAACUUGAGAGAACUGCUGUGCUGAAGGCCUUAUGUGCUGGAUUUCAGGAGACUACUGAGCCUCCAAUUUGUUUAAGUGGAGGUUAGUUGUUAACUCUUAUAUAUACUCAUUAGAUAUAUGUGCCCAUAUCUCUGCCUAUAACUAAUUAUGAUAAAUAGAUCUGGAGACCAAUCAGUGCCUUGAGAGGAAUGGUGGUUGCUGGGGAGACUCAAAAUCUAAUAUAACUGCUUGCAAGGUAUGCUAAAACGGCGUACCGCUGCCUAAAUAUAAUUAAUUUUCAUCACUAUUAUGUACCCGACAACAUGUUCUCCUGAAAAUAUUAUAUGAGUCACAAUUUAUCGUAAUUUAUAGGACACAUUUAGAGGAAGAGUAUGUGAGUGUCCCGUGGUCAAUGGGGUGCAAUAUAAAGGCGAUGGAUACAUGUCUUGUGAAGGUAGAGAUUUCAUUAUAAGCUAACACAUGAUGAUCUAAACUUUCACAAUUUUGAUGCGAAUUGAUGCUUCCUAUUUAAUAAAAAUGAUGCCUGUGUAAAACUUUUGCCAUCUAGAGAAGGAAAGAUCCACAUCUGUACUAAGUCUCUCACUGUAGAAUAAAUACACAAGCAUUUACCAAAAGCAACUGUUUUCUUACAUUAGCUAUAGGGAUGCAAAAAUGAAUUCUAGCCAUGAUUCUGUUAAGCACUUCUAUCUUGACUAGUCUGUCUCUUUUAUGGGACUGACAUAUAGAGAGGUUUAGCAGAUUCAAUAUGAUGAAGAACAAUGACCAUAAACUUAUCCAGUAAGAAGCUUUGUAUGUUCAGUCAUGCUUGGCUUAAGUUUAUAUAAAUGAUGAAACCAAACCCCUAGUCCAUUUGGCUAUUAGUUCUGAGGUUUCUAUCAAAUAUCCUGAGUUCCGCAUAGAAGUAGGAUUCGACAUUAGGAUCGCUGGCAUGUAUAAAGUCUUGAUCUUGAUCUUCUUCUCAUUAAGAUUUGGAGUGAUAGCUCAGUCACAAACAAAUGUUAUCGUCGAUCUUUCUCAAGACAGGC